AGUAGAGUGACUGAGAAGUAGGUGAAAGAUUGUAAAUCUUUUAAGGAGUCAACAAACUCUUCUACUA
Molecule: transfer RNA, 67 nt
Filed under: Panesthia sp. Salganea
Lineage: Eukaryota; Metazoa; Arthropoda; Insecta; Blattodea; Blaberidae
Also listed under: 1 other name
Description: tRNA-Tyr
Source: RNAcentral